Molecule: unclassified non-coding RNA, 903 nt
Filed under: Hevea brasiliensis (rubber tree)
Lineage: Eukaryota; Viridiplantae; Streptophyta; Magnoliopsida; Malpighiales; Euphorbiaceae
Source: RNAcentral
GUCGAGACUAUAGGAAAUUCAUUCAUUAAAAAUAGAGGUACAACAUUUCAAUACUCUAGGCCUCAAAGCUCUCUUAGUCAAAGACCCCAAUGACUCUGUUCAGCCAAGCCCAAAGAAAAAGAAGUUUAAGCCUAUCAAUUAAAACAGAAUAAGGCUCAGUCCCAAACAAAUUGGCGAAAGCCUAACCAGAAAACCUAAUAGGAAGACUAGUCUCCCCAAAUCCGGUAACCCAUCUUCAACGACCAAACCACAGUCACCUAUAGUGAAGAACACUAGCUACCAGUGUGGAGACCAUGGAUCAUUCAGCUGCAUUAGGUUAAUGGGAAACUCAACCAAAACAAGCAGCAUGCAACCACUCGACAUGAAGGAUGGAGUCCCCAGAGCAUCAAACCUAGAAGCAGAGAAAGUAGGAAGAGAUCAUUUUCGACGAAGGGAUCAUUGAACUAAAGGAGUUGCCAGAUGAAUCGGGAACAGGAGUGGUAGAGCUCCAGCAUCUUAGUCUCUUCUAGCUAGGAUGACUUGUGUCCUUUGAGAGUACCAACCAACAGGACAAGCCAUGAAGAGAAUUAAUGUGGAUUCAUAUCACAGAUUUUCAAGAAAAUCCCUCGCAGAGACAAGCACAAGAAACUGAUAUGCAACAAACCCAACACAAACAAAACUAUACUUCACCAAACCGGAAGGGAGAGAGGGAUAAUCCACCCAUGUGGAUGAGAAAAACCCAUCCCGUGCCCCUAAGGGCAGAGGAUGGCCACAGAUAUGACUGAGGGAAGGUUACUGAUAAAGAGAGAAAAAUGUUUUCUCACUGAGAAGGAAGAAUAAGCUCCCAUUAACCCUCGAUUCUCAAUUUCUCGCUUCUUCAGCCUAAAUAGGUGGCAUCAUUUGGUUGAUGGGACAUUGCGUUGC